GAUGAACGCUGGCGGCGUGCCUAAUACAUGCAAGUCGAGCGAACAGACGAGGAGCUUGCUCCUCUGACGUUGCGGCGGACGGGGUGGUAACAAGUGGGUAAACUACCUAUAAAGCUGGGGUAACUUCGGGAAACCGGAACUAAUUCCGGAUAAUAUAUUGAACCGCCUGGGUCAAUAGUGAAAAGCGGUUUUGCUGUCACUUAUAGUUGGGUCCGCGCCGCAUUAGCUAGUUGGUAAGGUAACGGCUUACCAAGGCAACGAUGCGUAGCCGACCUGAGAGGGUGAUCGGCCACACUGGAACUGAGACACGGUCCAGACUCCUACGGGAGGCAGCAGUAGGGAAUCUUCCGCAAUGGGCGAAAGCCUGACGGAGCAACGCCGCGUGAGUGAUGAAGGUCUUCGGAUCGUAAAACUCUGUUAUUAGGGAAGAACAAAUGUGUAAGUAACUAUGCACGUCUUGACGGUACCUAAUCAGAAAGCCACGGCUAACUACGUG
This 496-nucleotide ribosomal RNA is filed under the name uncultured bacterium. RNAcentral's name for it is "partial 16S ribosomal RNA". It matches the Rfam family "Bacterial small subunit ribosomal RNA", at positions 28 to 507 of the family's 1533-position model. The record is from RNAcentral.